Long non-coding RNA from Impatiens glandulifera, 262 nucleotides. RefSeq lists it as uncharacterized. The transcript is spliced from 3 exons. Lineage: Eukaryota; Viridiplantae; Streptophyta; Magnoliopsida; Ericales; Balsaminaceae. The record is from RefSeq and is a predicted model, not a curated record.
AUGUCUCCUUUAAAGGUCAUAUGUUAAUGUACAAGAAUAGAUUCCAUUUUGAUAAUCUCUAAAUGUCACAGAUCGGAGAACAUUGAUGCAUUGGAGACAAUAAAAGGAUUGUUGGAUGCCCUAAUUGUGAAGAUGAAGAUGAGCAUAAUGUUGUUUAGUUUUGGCUAGUGAAACGAAAGCCACGCGAAUUCCCUGUCUACUCAGUACUUUGAGGUUUUUAGCAAGUGUUUGGGAAGUCAACUAAUUUGAUGAUUAUGCAGGG